GAGUUUGAUCGUGGCUCAGAUUGAACGCUGGCGGCAGGCUUAACACAUGCAAGUCGAGCGGGGGAGAUUGCUUCGGUAAUUGACCUAGCGGCGGACGGGUGAGUAAUACUUAGGAAUCUGCCUAUUAAUGGGGGACAACAUCUCGAAAGGGAUGCUAAUACCGCAUACGCCCUACGGGGAAAGACAGGGGAGUCACUUGUGACCUUGCGUUAAUAGAUGAGCCUAAGUCGGAUUAGCUAGUUGGUGGGGUAAAAGGGCCUACCAAGGCGACGAUCUGUAGCGGGUC
This 286-nucleotide ribosomal RNA is filed under the name uncultured microorganism. Its description in RNAcentral is "partial 16S ribosomal RNA". It matches the Rfam family "Bacterial small subunit ribosomal RNA", at positions 9 to 292 of the family's 1533-position model. The record is from RNAcentral.